UGUAUAAUGGGUCAGCGACUUAUAUUCUGUAGCAAGGUUAACCGAAUAGGGGAGCCGAAGGGAAACCGAGUCUUAACUGGGCGUUAAGUUGCAGGGUAUAGACCCGAAACCCGGUGAUCUAGCCAUGGGCAGGUUGAAGGUUGGGUAACACUAACUGGAGGACCGAACCGACUAAUGUUGAAAAAUUAGCGGAUGACUUGUGGCUGGGGGUGAAAGGCCAAUCAAACCGGGAGAUAGCUGGUUCUCCCCGAAAGCUAUUUAGGUAGCGCCUCGUGAAUUCAUCUCCGGGGGUAGAGCACUGUUUCGGCAAGGGGGUCAUCCCGACUUACCAACCCGAUGCAAACUGCGAAUACCGGAGAAUGUUAUCACGGGAGACACACGGCGGGUGCUAACGUCCGUCGUGAAGAGGGAAACAACCCAGACCGCCAGCUAAGGUCCCAAAGUCAUGGUUAAGUGGGAAACGAUGUGGGAAGGCCCAGACAGCCAGGAUGUUGGCUUAGAAGCAGCCAUCAUUUAAAGAAAGCGUAAUAGCUCACUGGUCGAGUCGGCCUGCGCGGAAGAUGUAACGGGGCUAAACCAUGCACCGAAGCUGCGGCAGCGACACUAUGUGUUGUUGGGUAGGGGAGCGUUCUGUAAGCCUGUGAAGGUGGCCUGUGAGGGUUGCUGGAGGUAUCAGAAGUGCGAAUGCUGACAUAAGUAACGAUAAAGCGGGUGAAAAGCCCGCUCGCCGGAAGACCAAGGGUUCCUGUCCAACGUUAAUCGGGGCAGGGUGAGUCGACCCCUAAGGCGAGGCCGAAAGGCGUAGUCGAUGGGAAACAGGUUAAUAUUCCUGUACUUGGUGUUACUGCGAAGGGGGGACGGAGAAGGCUAUGUUGGCCGGGCGACGGUUGUCCCGGUUUAAGCGUGUAGGCUGGUUUUCCAGGCAAAUCCGGAAAACCAAGGCUGAGGCGUGAUGACGAGGCACUACGGUGCUGAAGCGACAAAUGCCCUGCUUCCAGGAAAAGCCUCUAAGCAUCAGGUAACAUCAAAUCGUACCCCAAACCGACACAGGUGGUCAGGUAGAGAAUACCAAGGCGCUUGAGAGAACUCGGGUGAAGGAACUAGGCAAAAUGGUGCCGUAACUUCGGGAGAAGGCACGCUGAUAUGUAGGUGAAGCGACUUGCUCGUGGAGCUGAAAUCAGUCGAAGAUACCAGCUGGCUGCAACUGUUUAUUAAAAACACAGCACUGUGCAAACACGAAAGUGGACGUAUACGGUGUGACGCCUGCCCGGUGCCGGAAGGUUAAUUGAUGGGGUUAGCGGUAACGCGAAGCUCUUGAUCGAAGCCCCGGUAAACGGCGGCCGUAACUAUAACGGUCCUAAGGUAGCGAAAUUCCUUGUCGGGUAAGUUCCGACCUGCACGAAUGGCGUAAUGAUGGCCAGGCUGUCUCCACCCGAGACUCAGUGAAAUUGAACUCGCUGUGAAGAUGCAGUGUACCCGCGGCAAGACGGAAAGACCCCGUGAACCUUUACUAUAGCUUGACACUGAACAUUGAGCCUUGAUGUGUAGGAUAGGUGGGAGGCUUUGAAGUGUGGACGCCAGUCUGCAUGGAGCCGACCUUGAAAUACCACCCUUUAAUGUUUGAUGUUCUAACGUUGGCCCGUAAUCCGGGUUGCGGACAGUGUCUGGUGGGUAGUUUGACUGGGGCGGUCUCCUCCUAAAGAGUAACGGAGGAGCACGAAGGUUGGCUAAUCCUGGUCGGACAUCAGGAGGUUAGUGCAAUGGCAUAAGCCAGCUUGACUGCGAGCGUGACGGCGCGAGCAGGUGCGAAAGCAGGUCAUAGUGAUCCGGUGGUUCUGAAUGGAAGGGCCAUCGCUCAACGGAUAAAAGGUACUCCGGGGAUAACAGGCUGAUACCGCCCAAGAGUUCAUAUCGACGGCGGUGUUUGGCACCUCGAUGUCGGCUCAUCACAUCCUGGGGCUGAAGUAGGUCCCAAGGGUAUGGCUGUUCGCCAUUUAAAGUGGUACGCGAGCUGGGUUUAGAACGUCGUGAGACAGUUCGGUCCCUAUCUGCCGUGGGCGCUGGAGAACUGAGGGGGGCUGCUCCUAGUACGAGAGGACCGGAGUGGACGCAUCACUGGUGUUCGGGUUGUCAUGCCAAUGGCACUGCCCGGUAGCUAAAUGCGGAAGAGAUAAGUGCUGAAAGCAUCUAAGCACGAAACUUGCCCCGAGAUGAGUUCUCCCUGACUCCUUGAGGGUCCUGAAGGAACGUUGAAGACGACGACGUUGAUAGGCCGGGUGUGUAAGCGCAGCGAUGCGUUGAGCUAACCGGUACUAAUGAACCGUGAGGCUUAACCUUACAACGCCGAAG
RNAcentral lists this ribosomal RNA (2349 nucleotides) under Escherichia coli. RNAcentral's name for it is "partial 23S ribosomal RNA". It matches the Rfam family "Bacterial large subunit ribosomal RNA", at positions 609 to 2925 of the family's 2925-position model. The record is from RNAcentral. Lineage: Bacteria; Pseudomonadati; Pseudomonadota; Gammaproteobacteria; Enterobacterales; Enterobacteriaceae.